This 465-nucleotide ribosomal RNA is filed under the name uncultured Rhodoferax sp. Its description in RNAcentral is "bacterial SSU rRNA". It matches the Rfam family "Bacterial small subunit ribosomal RNA", at positions 917 to 1381 of the family's 1533-position model. The record is from RNAcentral. Lineage: Bacteria; Pseudomonadati; Pseudomonadota; Betaproteobacteria; Burkholderiales; Comamonadaceae.
GACGGGACCGCACAAGCGGUGGAUGAUGUGGUUUAAUUCGAUGCAACGCGAAAACCUUACCACCUUUGACAUGUACGGAACCUUUAGAGAUAGAGGGUGCUCGAAAGAGAGCCGUAACACAGGUGCUGCAUGGCUGUCGUCAGCUCGUGUCGUGAGAUGUUGGGUUAAGUCCCGCAACGAGCGCAACCCUUGUCAUUAGUUUGCUACAUUCAGUUGGGCGCUCUAAUGAGACUGCCGGUGACAAGCCGGAGGAAGGUGGGGAUGACGUCAAGUCCUCAUGGCCCUUAUGGGUGGGGCUACACACGUCAUACAAUGGCUGGUACAAAGGGUUGCCAACCCGCGAGGGGGAGCCAAUCCCAUAAAGCCAGUCGUAGUCCGGAUCGUAGUCUGCAACUCGACUACGUGAAGUCGGAAUCGCUAGUAAUCGUGGAUCAGAAUGUCACGGUGAAUACGUUCCCGGGUCUU